Molecule: ribosomal RNA, 378 nt
Filed under: uncultured Gemmatimonadota bacterium
Lineage: Bacteria; Pseudomonadati; Gemmatimonadota
Description: bacterial SSU rRNA
Rfam family: Bacterial small subunit ribosomal RNA
Source: RNAcentral
UAAGACGGAGGGCGCAAGCGUUGUUCGGAAUUACUGGGCGUAAAGGACAGGUAGGUGGUCUGUUAAGUCUUCUGUGAAAAUCCGGGGCUCAACCCCGCGAAAUGCAGGUGAAACUGGCAGACUUGAGAUCGGUAGAGGCUAGCGGAAUUCCUGGUGUAGCGGUGGAAUGCGUAGAUAUCAGGAAGAACACCUGUGGCGAAGGCGGCUAGCUGGGCCGAUUCUGACACUGAACUGCGAAAGCGUGGGGAGCAAACAGGAUUAGAUACCCUGGUAGUCCACGCCGUAAACGAUGGGCACUAGAUGCCGGGCAUAUAGACGUGUUCGGUGUCGUCGCUAACGCAUUAAGUGCCCCGCCUGGGGAGUACGGUCGCAAGGCUG